CGCUAAGAAGCUAAAUUGGGAAUAAGCGUUAGCCUUUUAAGCUAAAGAUGGGGGGCCCCUAACCACCCUUAGCGA
RNAcentral lists this transfer RNA (75 nucleotides) under unidentified. Its description in RNAcentral is "Acanthogobius stigmothonus tRNA-Lys". It matches the Rfam family "tRNA". Rfam says of the family: Transfer RNA (tRNA) molecules are approximately 80 nucleotides in length. The record is from RNAcentral.